This 240-nucleotide unclassified non-coding RNA is filed under the name soil metagenome. RNAcentral describes it as "partial contains 5.8S ribosomal RNA, internal transcribed spacer 2, and large subunit ribosomal RNA". The record is from RNAcentral.
AACUGAUACUACCUGCGGGAACCUGCGGAGGGAUCAUUAUUGAAUAAACUUGAUGUGGUUGUAGCUGACUCUCUUGGGAGUAUGUGCUCGCCCGUCACUUUUAUCUUUCCACCUGUGCACUUUUUGUAGAUUUGGAUGUAACUGUCCGAGGCAACUCGGUUGGGAGGAAUACCAUCUAAUGGCUUUCCUUGUAUGUCCAAGUCUAUGUUUUUUAUAUACUCCAUAGUAUGUAACAGAAUG